UGGCGGCCAUAGCGCCGUGGAACCACCUGAUCCCAUGCCGAACUCAGAAGUGAAACGCGGUAGCGCCGAUGGUAGUGUGGCAUUCGCCAUGCGAGAGUA
Molecule: ribosomal RNA, 99 nt
Filed under: Aeromonas veronii AER39
Lineage: Bacteria; Pseudomonadati; Pseudomonadota; Gammaproteobacteria; Aeromonadales; Aeromonadaceae
Also listed under: 1 other name
Source: RNAcentral